UGGGGAAUAUUGGACAAUGGGCGAAAGCCUGAUCCAGCCAUGCCGCGUGUGUGAAGAAGGUCUUUUGGUUGUAAAGCACUUUAAGUGGGGAGGAAAAGCUUAUGGUUAAUACCCAUAAGCCCUGACGUUACCCACAGAAUAAGCACCGGCUAACUCUGUGCCAGCAGCCGCGGUAAUACAGAGGGUGCAAGCGUUAAUCGGAAUUACUGGGCGUAAAGCGCGCGUAGGUGGUUAUUUAAGUCAGAUGUGAAAGCCCCGGGCUUAACCUGGAAACUGCAUCUGAUACUGGAUAACUAGAGUAGGUGAGAGGGGAGUAGAAUUCCAGGUGUAGCGGUGAAAUGCGUAGAGAUCUGGAGGAAUACCGAUGGCGAAGGCAGCUCCCUGGCAUCAUACUGACACUGAGGUGCGAAAGCGUGGGUAGCAAACAGGAUUAGAUACCCUGGUAGUCCACGCCGUAAACGAUGUCUACCAGUCGUUGGGUCUUUUAAAGACUUAGUGACGCAGUUAACGCAAUAAGUAGACCGCCUGGGGAGUACGGCCGCAAGGUUA
RNAcentral lists this ribosomal RNA (549 nucleotides) under uncultured bacterium. Its description in RNAcentral is "bacterial SSU rRNA". It matches the Rfam family "Bacterial small subunit ribosomal RNA", at positions 355 to 896 of the family's 1533-position model. The record is from RNAcentral.